This 467-nucleotide ribosomal RNA is filed under the name uncultured bacterium. Its description in RNAcentral is "partial 16S ribosomal RNA". It matches the Rfam family "Bacterial small subunit ribosomal RNA", at positions 28 to 506 of the family's 1533-position model. The record is from RNAcentral.
GACGAACGCUGGCGGCGUGCUUAACACAUGCAAGUCGAACGGUGAAGCUCCAGCUUGCUGGAGUGGAUCAGUGGCGAACGGGUGAGUAACACGUGAGCAACCUGCCCCUGACUCUGGAAUAAGCGCUGGAAACGGCGUCUAAUACUGGAUACGAGAAGGGUCCGCAUGGGCACUUUCUGGAAAGUUUUUCGGUUGGGGAUGGGCUCGCGGCCUAUCAGCUUGUUGGUGAGGUAAUGGCUCACCAAGGCGACGACGGGUAGCCGGCCUGAGAGGGCGACCGGCCACACUGGGACUGAGACACGGCCCAGACUCCUACGGGAGGCAGCAGUGGGGAAUAUUGCACAAUGGGCGAAAGCCUGAUGCAGCGACGCCGCGUGAGGGAUGACGGCCUUCGGGUUGUAAACCGCUUUCAGCAGGGAAGAAGCGAAAGUGACGGUACCUGCAGAAGAAGCACCGGCGAACUACGU